Molecule: small RNA, 91 nt
Filed under: Lactobacillus helveticus DSM 20075 = CGMCC 1.1877
Lineage: Bacteria; Bacillati; Bacillota; Bacilli; Lactobacillales; Lactobacillaceae
Description: Lactobacillus helveticus DSM 20075 RNA anti-toxin A
Rfam family: RNA anti-toxin A
Source: Rfam by way of RNAcentral
UAAUGUAGACAGAAAAAGGGAAGCCCCGCUAGAACAGGACUUCCCAUGUAGAGCCGUUAAAGACGGUGGCAGAUUUUAACGAUAUUUAAUA